UGGCUUAGAGGUUAAAGCGCCUGCCUCCAAUGCAGGAGACCCAGGUUCGAUCCCUGG
This 57-nucleotide transfer RNA is filed under the name Ovis aries (sheep). It matches the Rfam family "tRNA", at positions 8 to 63 of the family's 71-position model. Rfam says of the family: Transfer RNA (tRNA) molecules are approximately 80 nucleotides in length. Their secondary structure includes four short double-helical elements and three loops (D, anti-codon, and T loops). Lineage: Eukaryota; Metazoa; Chordata; Mammalia; Artiodactyla; Bovidae. The record is from Rfam by way of RNAcentral.